Molecule: unclassified non-coding RNA, 218 nt
Filed under: rhizosphere metagenome
Description: partial ribosomal RNA internal transcribed spacer region
Source: RNAcentral
GUAGGUGAACCUGCGGAAGGAUCAUUAUUGAAAUAAACCUGAUAGGUUGUUGCUGGUUCUCUUGGGAGCAUGUGCACGCCUUGUCAUCUUUAUAUCUCCACCUGUGCACCUUUUGUAGACCUGUAUGGUCUAUGUUGCUUCAUUUACACCAAUGUAUGUUGAUAGAAUGUCGUCCUAUAAAAUAUAUACAACUUUCAGCAACGGAUCUCUUGGCUCUC